This 392-nucleotide unclassified non-coding RNA is filed under the name Hevea brasiliensis (rubber tree). The record is from RNAcentral. Lineage: Eukaryota; Viridiplantae; Streptophyta; Magnoliopsida; Malpighiales; Euphorbiaceae.
UCUCCAUCAACUGUUGAAAGUCUUUGUCUGUUUAAGGCUCAAAUAUAUGUGGGCUUGGUUAGGUGUCUCUAAUCUCAUAAAUCUCGUCGUUUUCUGUCUCAAAUGGGAUAAAGCUGAAGAAAUUCUGGCUUUAAUCUUGAAGCUGAACACUCCUCUGUUCAACCCAAAAAAUUUGGUCAUAUGGUCAGGUGCUCAUGGCUUGUCAGGAAAUUGCGUUCUGUAGCUUAACACCUGCAUGAUGUUAGUUAAAUAUUUCAGCAUAUCGGCAUUGAUAGUUGGGCAAGUGGCAACUUGUACUUGCAGAAAGUAUAGCUAAUCUGUAUAUUAUUAAUUUCUUGUCUUCAAGGUACAUUAGGAAUGCUCUACAGAAGAUAAGACAUUUUUUGUUUUUG